This 597-nucleotide ribosomal RNA is filed under the name Pterocladiella caerulescens. RNAcentral describes it as "eukaryotic LSU rRNA". It matches the Rfam family "Eukaryotic large subunit ribosomal RNA", at positions 1284 to 1900 of the family's 3401-position model. The record is from RNAcentral. Lineage: Eukaryota; Rhodophyta; Florideophyceae; Gelidiales; Pterocladiaceae.
AACAACUCACCUGCCGAAUGAAUUAGCCCUGAAAAUGGAUGGCGCUUAAGCGGAUGACCGACACCAUGCCGUCUGAAUGAUAUAUUUUCAGAUGAGUAGGAGGACGUGGUGAUUGUAACGAAGUAUGUGUGCGAACACGUAUAGAACGAUCACUAGUGCAGAUCUUGGUGGUAGUAGCAAAUAUUCAAGCGAGAUCCUUGAAGGGCGAAGCGGGGAAGGGUUCCACGCUAACAUUGAUUGGGCGUGGGUGAGUCGUUCCUAAGCCGAGUGGCAAUUGCUAAGUAACGGCGAAAGGGAAGCAGGUUUACAUUCCUGCACACGGAUGUGGAGGUGGUGACACUUUAUUGAGGCGAACACAUUGGCGAUGGCGCUAGGCAGAGUUGUCUUUUCUGUUUAACCGUUUGUAUAUAUUGUGUGGAGUCCGAUUAUCGGGAGAAACACAUAUAUACGGGCAGAGCGCCGGGGCUUAUCCGGCGUCUAGCUCGCCAUCGACGAUCCUUGAAACUUUGCCUGCUGAAUUUUUAAUAUCCACGCCGUGGCGUACCGAUCACCGCAUCAGGUCCCCGAGGUGAACAGCCUCUGCUCAAUAUGAAAAAU